This is a non-coding RNA of Arachis ipaensis, 850 nucleotides long. NCBI's taxonomy places the organism in Eukaryota, Viridiplantae, Streptophyta, Magnoliopsida, Fabales, Fabaceae. The record is from RefSeq and is a predicted model, not a curated record.
AUAGCCCUCUUCUCUCAGCACCACAAGACGCAGCCAUGCACCCUCGGUCCCCCUCACGGCUCACGAAUGAUGUCGCCACCUUUCCUCUCUCAGCCCUCCCUCUACCGCGCCUCUCACCAUCUGCCAUCAUCCUUUCCUUCUCAACCCUCUAUUUGUCUCUCACCAGCCACCGUCACGGCUUCUGUCACCACUCACUCGCCUCAGAGUCAUGACGGUGCUGCGCUGCUUCUCGCCUCUCGGUGAUGACGAGUUGGCGACCCUCAGCUACAACAAAUGCGAAGUGCGAUGGCGCUUCUCUAACCCUCAACAACGAUGACUAGUUUUCCUGUCUCGGUCACGACGGUGUUGUCCCCAGUCGUCCUCUUCUUCUCUGCCGCUAGUCUUCUUCUUCUUCUCCUCUUCUUUGACCUCUGCUCAAGUUCAGGUUUUCAGGUACUAUGGCUGCUGGGUUAAGGGGUUGUUGGUUUAUGGACUACUCUGAUUUUCUGAAAUUGUUGAUUUCUAUUGUUGCUUGGUGCACUACUUACAUUGUUGUUGCAUUUCUUGAUUUCUUUCCGUCCGUUAAUUGUCCUACAGCUUCCUGAGCUUCAGAGAGGUUAGGGAAGAUUGCUUGAGUUAGUUACAAAUGGUGUAUUUUAGAGGAGAGGAAGAACAAAGAAAACUUUACCAGAAAUUAUUAGAAGAGAUUUAAAAAUGAAUGGGAUAAACACAAAGAUGACUUAUGACAGGGCACAAUAGCAUUGGUUGUUUCAUGUAUCUAACUCUAGUUAUUGUUAUUGUCUUUGUUGUUUUGUGUAUUGUCUAAUCUUUGUAAGCUAUCUGCACCUAGUGGGACAAGAUUAUUAAACUU